This is a non-coding RNA of Phrynosoma platyrhinos (Desert horned lizard), 72 nucleotides long. The record is from the annotation of a GenBank genome assembly. NCBI's taxonomy places the organism in Eukaryota, Metazoa, Chordata, Lepidosauria, Squamata, Phrynosomatidae.
GCCAAUGUGGCAUAGUGGUUUGAGUGCUAGACUAUGAAUCUGGAGACCAGGGUUUGAUCCCCAUCUCGGCCA